UAUUUCUAUUUUCAUAGCUUGGGGCUGUUUGGUUUUCCAAUUUCCUAUGUAAUGCAAAGUAAAUGAGCCAUCAUUAUCAUUUUCAAUUGUUUUUUUUAAUAAGGAAUUACAGCUCAUAAAAAGGAGAUAUGUAAAGGAGAUUGUAAUCAUUACAUUUUCACAUUAUAAAAUUACCAUUUUUACAGUGAUUUCUGGGUGAAACAAACAACGUAGCAAAAUCAUCAUUGCAGUCAAAUGUAAGUGAUGUCACCACACAAUUACAAGAAAUCAUUACCCAUUUAUACCCAUUCACCAUUUAAUUGGAAAACCAAAUAGGCCCUUGAUGCUUUUCCCUUUUGCAAUGGAGCCUCACAGUUGUCGUUAUUGACGAUGAUCCUGUAACUGUUUUUUUUGCUUGAUUUUCGGAUACAUGUUAUUAAUUGUGUAAAGAAGGGUCAUAUUCUAGCAGCACAAUCUGUCUAGUUUCUUCUGUGAAUUGUGGAGGUUUUCUUUUGUAUUUGGCAAAAUUCAUGGCAUUUUGUAUCUUCGAUCUAAUUGUUUCUUCCAUGUGAGAACAAAGGGAAAUGAAUUGGGCUGACACUUAUAGAGUGUGUUUGGAUACUGGGAAUCCCUAUGGAAAUGGAAUUCUCUGGCACAAGAAAUAAGGAGAUCAUGGAAUCCACUUUCUAUUCUCUGACCGUUGUCUAACGAAUUUGAGGAUUCUACUUUCUGGUUGCUAUCCAAACGGGCACCUCAUUUUUGUCAUCCUAUUCCAACAGUGAUCAUGGAAUCCAAAUGGAAACCACGUAUCCAAACAUACCUUUACGUGAAAGGUGUCGGGUGAAUCUUUUUAAGGGGAAUGUUGCCCCUGCCUUGACAUUUCCAUUGUUUUUGCAACAGAAUAUUUCAUUGCUUCGAACAGUCUGUAUUGUAAUUAUCAAUUCACAGUUCUUUACAUAUAUAUGCCCUUUGACCAGUUCUCACUUUGUGGAUAUGAAAGGUCAGUUUUUCAGGGAGAUGGAAUCCCUCAACAAAUGCAGAUGACAGUUUGCAUCAAAAGGUCACAAAAUCCAUAUGGAAUUACAAUUUAUUUCUUGCCUUGAAGAUGUUUCUUAUUGUGAUUUGUAAGUGAAUGGAGCAUGUUUCUUACCUUGAUUUCAUUACAUGCCACAUGGCAUCUAUGUAAAGAAAAUUUACUGGUUUUGUGGGUUCGUCGACUAUGAGCUUGAUCCAAGGUCACACUGACCUUAGCCAUCCAUUUGAGCAUGGCCCAAAAGUAACCCUGUCUUAGCCAUUCAUUAGGGGACUAUGAGUGGUCUCUGCUGUUAGCAGUAUGUAGAUUGGUGUGGGUUCGUGGCUGCAAGCAAACGAGGAGGAAGCGCAUGUGGCCCUAGGCACAUUGAUGUUUUACUCUGUUAUGGUCCGUGGCUUAAACAGUGGGGACCAAACCAUUUAGGUUAGUCAAGUGGGUCUAUUUUAUGCGUCAUCAACUGGUGGGCCAAACCAUUUGAGUCAGCAGAGUGGGCGUCAUAACUCCACUUAAGAUCUAUGGUUAUCUUGGAACUUUAGUUCGAAUUCUAAAUUAAAAAUAGUAGUCCAACAAUCAAAGUUUGAAUCUGAAUUUAAAUUUGAAUUUUGAAUUUGAAUUAUGUGGAAUGCAAUUAAUGAAAAGGAGACAGUUUCUUUAACAAUCUUUUGCUUGAUUGCAAAGAGGGGCUGUCUAUCUUCAAAUUUGCA
Magnolia sinica is the source of this 1716-nucleotide long non-coding RNA. RefSeq lists it as uncharacterized. The transcript has 2 exons. The record is from RefSeq and is a predicted model, not a curated record. NCBI's taxonomy places the organism in Eukaryota, Viridiplantae, Streptophyta, Magnoliopsida, Magnoliales, Magnoliaceae.